GGAUGCAUGAAAUAUGGGCACUCAGCUUGGCAACAACACAACAUCAACACAGUUUGGAGUUUCUUCAUGAGCUAGUCUCUCGUUUCAGACUGUGUUCCAAGACCUGGUGCCAGGAUUAGGUAUAACAUGUAUGAGUCCUGAUGCUGGAUGCUAGGAUUAGGUAUAACAUGUAUUAGACCAAUGCUGGAUGCCAGGAUUAGUUAUAACAUGUAUUAGUCCUGAUGCUGGAUGCCAGGAUUAGGUAUAACAUGUAUUAGACCAAUGCUGGAUGCCAGGAUUAGUUAUAACAUGUAUUAGAUCGAUGCUGGAUGCCAGGAUUAGGUAUAACAUGUAUUAGACUGAUGCUGGAUGCCAGGAUUAGGUAUAACAUGUAUUAGACAGAUGCUGGAUGCCAGGAUUAGUUAUAACAUGUAUUAGACAGAUGCUGGAUGCUAGGAUUAGGUAUAACAUGUAUUAGACAGAUGCUGGAUGCCAGGAUUAGGUAUAACAUGUAUUAGACAGAUGCUGGAUGCCAGGAUUAGGUGUAACAUGUAUUAGACAGAUGCUG
This 547-nucleotide long non-coding RNA is filed under the name Salmo salar (Atlantic salmon). RNAcentral describes it as "lncRNA (ENSSSAG00000086507.1)". Lineage: Eukaryota; Metazoa; Chordata; Actinopteri; Salmoniformes; Salmonidae. The record is from RNAcentral.